CCUACGGGAGGCAGCAGUAGGGAAUCUUCCACAAUGGACGAAAGUCUGAUGGAGCAACGCCGCGUGAGUGAAGAAGUAUUUCGGUAUGUAAAGCUCUAUCAGCAGGGAAGAAAAUGACGGUACCUGACUAAGAAGCCCCGGCUAACUACGUGCCAGCAGCCGCGGUAAUACGUAGGGGGCACGCGUUAUCCGGAUUUACUGGGUGUACAGGGAGCGUAGACGGCAGAGCAAGUCUGAAGUGAAAGCACGCGGCGCA
This 256-nucleotide ribosomal RNA is filed under the name uncultured bacterium. Its description in RNAcentral is "partial 16S ribosomal RNA". It matches the Rfam family "Bacterial small subunit ribosomal RNA", at positions 338 to 611 of the family's 1533-position model. The record is from RNAcentral.